This 417-nucleotide ribosomal RNA is filed under the name uncultured eukaryote. Its description in RNAcentral is "SSU rRNA". It matches the Rfam family "Eukaryotic small subunit ribosomal RNA", at positions 592 to 1013 of the family's 1831-position model. The record is from RNAcentral.
CAAUAGCGUAUAUUAAAGUUGUUGCGGUUAAAAAGCUCGUAGUUGGAUUUCUGUUGAGGGUGGCCAGUCCGCACUUUGUGCGUGUAUUUGGUUCAGCCUCGGCAUCCUCCUGGGGAGCGUUUCUGUACUUGAUUGUAUGGGACGUAAUUCAGGACUUUUACUUUGAGGAAAUUAGAGUGUUCACGGCAGGCGUUCGCCUUGAAUAUGUUAGCAUGGAAUAAUAAUAUAGGACUUUGGUUCUAUUUUGUUGGUUUCUAGGACUAAAGUAAUGAUUAAUAGGGAUAAUUGGGGGCAUUUGUAUUAACGCGUCAGAGGUGGAAUUCUUGGAUUGCGUUACGACAAACUACUGCGAAAGCAUUUGCCAAGGAUGUUUUCAUUGAUCAAGAACGAAAGUAUGGGGAUCGAAGACGAUCAGAU